Brassica napus (rape) is the source of this 4914-nucleotide RNA transcript. RefSeq lists it as uncharacterized. The transcript is spliced from 2 exons. The record is from RefSeq and is a predicted model, not a curated record. Lineage: Eukaryota; Viridiplantae; Streptophyta; Magnoliopsida; Brassicales; Brassicaceae.
UUAUUUUUGGGGGAAUUUUACUUAUACACUUUUUAUGAUACCACUUUUCAACUUUACCAUCAAUCGAAAGGCAUUUUCAAAAAUACCACAUUCAUUAAUGUGUAAAAGACAAUAUUGCCCUUAACUUAUCUUCAACUCAUUUCUCUCUCUCUCGUGAAUCUCCGUUCGUCGUCUAUCGUCUCUGUUCAGAUCCGCUGUUUUCCGUUCAGAUCCGCCGUCUCCGUUCAGAUUCGCCGUCUCUGUCCUCCAGAUCCGCCGUCUCUGUCCUGAACCGACGUCUUCGUCCAGAUUCGUCGUCUUCGUCCAGAUCCACGAAGCAAUCGAGAUCGAGACUCAAAACUUCAAAUGUUGAAUCCUCAGCAAGAAUCACAACCUAUUGCAGAGUCUGUUUCUUUUAGCAGCGAUAAAAAGUAUGAUAUAACGCAAGUGAAGGCUCCACCUCAGCUGCAGAAAAAGAUGUGUUAAGUAACUCAAUCAACUAAAAGACAAUUUAGAAAGGCUUAUAAGACAGUUUAUAAAGUUUGUUAAAUAAUUUAUAAGGUUUAUAAAUUCUGCACAAUUUUGAAGUUAACUACGAGGUAUUGUGAUACUUCAACAGAGCUACCAGACAAGCCAAAACUGAUCAUCCAACGUUCAAAUAUGAAUUAUGUUGAAAAUGAUUUUUUGUAUUUUAGGUAAGGAGGAAUUUAGUGAAAUUGAGAAUUCACACCUUGCGGAAGUGUUGUAGAACUAGCUAGAAAGAAUAACAUUCAAUUUUCAGGAAAACCUUAUGCAAAUAAGAUUAUUGAUGAAUGGGGGUAGAUCUAUGGUUCACUUUCUCAUAUCAACCAAUGGGGUUAGAUCUAUGAUUAUUGAUGAAUGUAAAUAAUUUAUAAAAGCUUAUAAAAAACGUUAUGAAAGCAUACAUUCAAUUUAUAAGGGUAUUAUAUGAGUUCCAUAGGUUUAUAAAUCAACUAAAAGAGUCUAUAACAAUUUAGAAAGCCUUAUAAAACAAUUUAUAAUGGUUUGUAUAAUAAUUUAUAAGGGUUUAUAAGGGUACGUAAAUAAUGUAUAUGGGUUUAUAAAAAUAAUUUAUUAAGUUUAUACACCAUUAUAAAUAUUAUAAAAUGAUUUAUAUGGGAAUUUAAAAUUUCUGAAGCGGUGGAGUCUUGAUUGCUGUCCACAUGUACCUCAGAAUCUGCCAUGUAUCAUCAUCUCUUUACAAAGCCUUAUAAGGAUAUGUAAAAUUAUUUGUAGGAGUUUAUAAACUAUUAAUAAAUGCAUAUAAAACAAGUUAUAAAAUCUAUAAACCAUUUAUAAAUGUUUAUAAGAAAGUUAUGAAAGUUUAUAAACAAUAUAUAAGGGGCAUGUAUACUAUUAAUAAGAGUUUAUAAAAACUGUAUGAAAGAUUAUAUUCAAUUUAUAAGAGGUAUUAUAAGAGUUGUAUAGGUUUAUAAAUCAACUAAAAGAGUCUAAAACCAUUUAGAAAGCCUUAUAAAACAAUUUAUAAUGGUUUGUAUAAUAAUUUAUAAGGGUUUAUAAGGGUAUGUAAAUAAUGUAUACGGGUUUAUAAAAAUAAUUUAUUAAGUUUAUACACCAUUAUAAAAUAUUAUAAAAUGAUUUAUAAGGGAAUUUAAAAUUUUUGAAGCGGUGGAGUCUUGAUUGCUGUCCACAUGUACCUCAGAAUCUGCCACGUAUCAUCAUCUCCUUACAAAUCCUUAUAAGGAUAUGUAAAAUUAUUUGUAAGAGUUUAUAAACUAUUAAUAAAUGCAUAUAAAACAAGUUAUAAAAUCUAUAAACCAUUUAUAAAUGUUUAUAAGAAAGUAUGAAAGUUUAUAAACAAUUUAUAAGGGGCAUGUAUACUAUUAAUAAGAGUUUAUAAAAACUGUAUGAAAGAUUAUAUUCAAUUUAUAAGAGGUAUUAUAAGAGUUGUAUAGGUUUAUAAAUCAACUAAAAGAGUCUAAAACCAUUUAGAAAGCCUUAUAAAACAAUUUAUAAUGGUUUGUAUAAUAAUUUAUAAGGGUUUAUAAGGGUAUGUAAAUAAUGUAUACGGGUUUAUAAAAAUAAUUUAUUAAGUUUAUACACCAUUAUAAAAUAUUAUAAAAUGAUUUAUAAGGGAAUUUAAAAUUUCUGAAGCGGUGGAGUCUUGAUUGCUGUCCACAUGUACCUCAGAAUCUGCCACGUAUCAUCAUCUCCUUACAAAUCCUUAUAAGGAUAUGUAAAAUUAUUUGUAAGAGUUUAUAAACCAUUAAUAAAUGCAUAUAAAACAAGUUAUAAAAUCUAUAAACCAUUUAUAAAUGUUUAUAAGAAAGUUAUGAAAGUUUAUAAAUAAUUUAUAAGGGGUAUGUAUACUAUUAGUAAGAGUUUAUAAAAACUUUAUGAAAGAUUAUAUUCAAUUUAUAAGGGGUAUUAUAAGAGUUGUAUAGGUUUAUAAAUCAACUAAAAGAGUCUAUAACCGUUUAGAAAGCCUUAUAAAAUAAUUUAUAAUGGUUUGUAUAAUAAUGUAUACGGGUUUAUAAAAAUAAUUUAUAAAGUUUAUACACCAUUAUAAAGGAUUAUAAUAAAACAAUUUAUAAGGAUAUGUAAAAUUUCUGAAGCGGUGGAGUCUUGAUUGCUGUCCACAUGUACCUCAGAAUCUGCCAUGUAUCAUCAUCUCUUUACAAAGCCUUAUAAGGAUAUGUAAAAUUAUUUGUAGGAGUUUAUAAACUAUUAAUAAAUGCAUAUAAAACAAGUUAUAAAAUCUAUAAACCAUUUAUAAAUGUUUAUAAGAAAGUUAUGAAAGUUUAUAAAUAAUUUAUAAGAGGUAUGUAUACUAUUAAUAAGGGUUUAUAAAAACUUUAUGAAAGCCUUAAAACAAUUUAUAAUGGUUUGUAUAAUAAUAUAUAAGGGUUUACAAGAGUAUGUAAAUAUUUUAUAAGGAUUUAUAAAAAUAAUUUAUAAAGUUUAUACACCAUAAUAAAGGAUUAUAAAAUAAUUUAUAAAAGUAUGUAAAAUUUAUGAAGCAGUGGAGUCUUGCUUGCUGUCCUCAUGUGCCUCACAAUCUGCCACGUAUCAUCAUCUCUUUACAAAAGUAUAUAACUAUUUAUACAGGUUUAUAAAACUAUUUAAAAGGGUGUAUUAAACUAUUUACAAGAACAUAUAAGCUAUUUAUAAGUCUAUUGUUAAAAGUACAACUCGACGAUUUAUAAAUUCUUAUUAAGAAGUUUUUAAACAAGAGUUGAUUGUAUAUGUCUAUACAAAACACAUAAAUGUUUGAACUUGAGAAGUCUUGUGAGGAAUGCUAGGCAGAAUGAGUGUAAGAAACUCAAAGUGAUUUAUAAGCGUUUAUAAAUUUAUUUACAAUGGUUUAUAAGGUAAUUUUUUUAAAAUCCCUCCAAAAGACAAUCAACACAAAAAAACAUAUCUGGUGAAAGAGCCACGUCCUUCAACAAGGGAUAUAUUGCUUUAACAUAGUCUGAGAACAUCAAGGCUUCUCCAUAUCUCACUCUUCUAUAAAAGAAACAAUUGAAACCAAACUCACUUACAUGUCCAACUAAUAUCUUCAAUUAUGCAACUACUAAAAGAGAGAUACAAUUGUUUUAGUAUAAGAGAUGUCUAAAUAAGAUGAGAGAGAAGAAUGUACUAAGAAGCCAACUCUGCAACUUUUAUAAAGCGUUAUAAAUACGUAAUUCUUUGAUAGUACAAACCACAUUCUUCUUCAGAGUCUCUCUUGCCUCUUCAAAUAGCUCACCAACCUCGUAAAUUUUCAAAAUCUGAACAAAAGCCAGUCACAUAUUAUUUCUACGCAUCAGCAUUCACUUCCAAAAAUAAGAUUCAAAAAUAGUAUACUUUCGUAACUCAACAAACUCAUCAUUCAUCUUCACUGCUUCUGUAGAUAUUAUACACAAAACAAGACAUAAAAAAUAAACUCAUAAAGUAUAAAUAGAACGUUACACUACCAAAACACCAACGUUCCACCUCAUAUACUGCACAUACUAAAACAUUGCUAGUCAAACUACAAAUAGUAGCAUUGUAUUACCUUAAGGAAGUGAGAUACUUAGAUAUGCAUAUCACCACACAUAUUCUCCACAACAUCCUUUAAAUCCAAAAGCUGACAACACACAUUUGUAAUUCUCUACAACAUCACCAAAUCAACCAAGAAAAGAAGUAAUCAUAGAAUAAUUAUACUCUUAGGUUAGUACCUUCUCAUGAAUUAAAUAAUUAUAUAAAUCUGAAAACUAUGACAAUAAAUCAACCAAAUCAAUAAUUGUACUCUUACGUUAAGCUUUGUGUCUUUUGAUUGCUAACAGAUCAACAGUAAGAUUUGAAAGGAUCCAAUUUAUAAGAUCUUAUAAAUUUGAGAUCUGAAAACUUCACUUGAAAAACUUCGUCUUCUUUCUUAGAAACAUAUCGAUUUUGAUAAAUCAAGCUAAAAUUACAGAAAGAGGCAAAAAUCACCAUAUACUAUCAUCUUACCUUUGUUAGUGUUUCUUAGGCGUUGGGAGAGAGAUCGUCUCGUUCGUCUGAGCUUGCCGAGUCUGUCAGCUUUGCCGGAGAACUUCUCGGCAUGCGAUUCGUGACGAACGUGACCGAUUUAGCAUCGGAGGAUUACUACGACUACAUAAUGCCGGCAGAGGAACGGCGGGAUGUCCACUCGCCGCCACGCUCUCCCAAUCCGGUCGAGUUCGUCGGAGAUCGUCGAGUUCGCCGGAGAUCGCCAAGUUCGCCGAAGAUCGCCGAAUUCGCCGGAGAUCGCCGAGUUUGCCGGAGAUCUCGUUGGAGCUCGUCUCAAUUUGAUCUCAUUUUCAUCUCGUGACAGACAUUUGGAGAAGAAUAGAUCUAGGUUAAAUUAAUGAAAUGAGGGGUAUAAUGGUACUUUAGCCAUUAAAAUUUUAAUGGUAAAUUUGAAAAGUGUAAAGUUGAAAAGUGGUAUUAGGAAAGUGGUAUUAGUGGCAA